Molecule: small RNA, 70 nt
Filed under: Synechococcus sp. 7002
Lineage: Bacteria; Bacillati; Cyanobacteriota; Cyanophyceae; Synechococcales; Synechococcaceae
Also listed under: 1 other name
Description: Cyano-1 RNA
Rfam family: Cyano-1 RNA
Source: RNAcentral
AGGUGUGUGAGGAGCGAACCAGAAAGAAGACCGAGACGAAACACGGAAAGUCGCCGGUCUUUUUUCUGUG